RNAcentral lists this long non-coding RNA (203 nucleotides) under Capsicum annuum. RNAcentral describes it as "long non-coding RNA (CANN_LNC000143)". Lineage: Eukaryota; Viridiplantae; Streptophyta; Magnoliopsida; Solanales; Solanaceae. The record is from RNAcentral.
ACAUGCCCAAACCAUUGCAACCUCACUUUUCCCAUCUUGUCCUCCACUGAAGGCACUCCUAUUUCUCUCAAAUAAUCUUAUUUCUGAUCCUAUAUCUCCUGGUAAGUUCACAGAUUCAUCGUAAUACCCUCAUUCUUGCCACUUUCAACUUUUGGAUAUAAAAGUUCUUAACUGACCAACACUCUGCUUCAUACAACAUAGCC